This 583-nucleotide ribosomal RNA is filed under the name uncultured bacterium. RNAcentral describes it as "bacterial SSU rRNA". It matches the Rfam family "Bacterial small subunit ribosomal RNA", at positions 338 to 916 of the family's 1533-position model. The record is from RNAcentral.
CCUACGGGAGGCAGCAGUGGGGAAUUUUGGACAAUGGGCGCAAGCCUGAUCCAGCAAUGCCGCGUGAGUGAAGAAGGCCUUCGGGUUGUAAAGCUCUUUUGUCAGGGAAGAAACGGUUGGGGCUAAUAUCCUCGGCUAAUGACGGUACCUGAAGAAUAAGCACCGGCUAACUACGUGCCAGCAGCCGCGGUAAUACGUAGGGUGCAAGCGUUAAUCGGAAUUACUGGGCGUAAAGCGUGCGCAGGCGGUUUUGUAAGUCUGUCGUGAAAGCCCCGGGCUUAACCUGGGAAUUGCGAUGGAGACUGCAAGGCUUGAAUCUGGCAGAGGGGGGUAGAAUUCCACGUGUAGCAGUGAAAUGCGUAGAGAUGUGGAGGAACACCGAUGGCGAAGGCAGCCCCCUGGGUCAAGAUUGACGCUCAUGCACGAAAGCGUGGGGAGCAAACAGGAUUAGAUACCCUGGUAGUCCACGCCCUAAACGAUGUCUACUAGUUGUCGGGUCUUAAUUGACUUGGUAACGCAGCUAACGCGUGAAGUAGACCGCCUGGGGAUACGGUCGCAAGNUUAAAACUUAAGGAAUUGACGG